UGCAAGUCGAGCGGACAGAUGGGAGCUUGCUCCCUGAUGUUAGCGGCGGACGGGUGAGUAACACGUGGGUAACCUGCCUGUAAGACUGGGAUAACUCCGGGAAACCGGGGCUAAUACCGGAUGCUUGUUUGAACCGCAUGGUUCAAACAUAAAAGGUGGCUUCGGCUACCACUUACAGAUGGACCCGCGGCGCAUUAGCUAGUUGGUGAGGUAAUGGCUCACCAAGGCAACGAUGCGUAGCCGACCUGAGAGGGUGAUCGGCCACACUGGGACUGAGACACGGCCCAGACUCCUACGGGAGGCAGCAGUAGGGAAUCUUCCGCAAUGGACGAAAGUCUGACGGAGCAACGCCGCGUGAGUGAUGAAGGUUUUCGGAUCGUAAAGCUCUGUUGUUAGGGAAGAACAAGUACCGUUCGAAUAGGGCGGUACCUUGACGGUACCUAACCAGAAAGCCACGGCUAACUACGUGCCAGCAGCCGCGGUAAUACGUAGGUGGCAAGCGUUGUCCGGAAUUAUUGGGCGUAAAGGGCUCGCAGGCGGUUUCUUAAGUCUGAUGUGAAAGCCCCCGGCUCAACCGGGGAGGGUCAUUGGAAACUGGGGAACUUGAGUGCAGAAGAGGAGAGUGGAAUUCCACGUGUAGCGGUGAAAUGCGUAAAGAUGUGGAGGAACACCA
Molecule: ribosomal RNA, 673 nt
Filed under: Bacillus sp. (in: firmicutes)
Lineage: Bacteria; Bacillati; Bacillota; Bacilli; Caryophanales; Bacillaceae
Description: bacterial SSU rRNA
Rfam family: Bacterial small subunit ribosomal RNA
Source: RNAcentral